UUUCUAUCUGCGAUAUGGAAGAUGCGAACCAGCAGCAGGUCCUCGACUAUCGGAGGGAGACAACGGAGCCGCUUGAGGCGACGGCCCGAAGGUCGAGCAAAGCGAGUAAUCCUGCACGACCCACCA
RNAcentral lists this small RNA (126 nucleotides) under Salmonella enterica subsp. enterica serovar Enteritidis. Its description in RNAcentral is "RtT sRNA". It matches the Rfam family "RtT RNA". From Rfam's summary of the family: This family represents a bacterial cis-regulatory element known as RtT RNA. The exact function of RtT is unknown although it is thought that it may be involved in changing the cellular response in relation to amino acid starvation. Lineage: Bacteria; Pseudomonadati; Pseudomonadota; Gammaproteobacteria; Enterobacterales; Enterobacteriaceae. The record is from RNAcentral.